RNAcentral lists this unclassified non-coding RNA (305 nucleotides) under Hevea brasiliensis (rubber tree). The record is from RNAcentral. Lineage: Eukaryota; Viridiplantae; Streptophyta; Magnoliopsida; Malpighiales; Euphorbiaceae.
GGAGUUGAAGGCACUGUGACAGUCAAUACUCUGCUAGAUCCACUCGCAUCAUAUGCACCUUUGCCACCAUAUUUUGGAUCUGCCCCAUGGUGAAGAGGACUCUCAGCUUUAAUUCUUACACUAAAGCACGAACCCAUUAACAAAAAGCUCAAAGCUCAAAGCUCAGUGCUCUUCACUCUUCUGACCAGCCCCCCCAGAUGCCAAAGAUUAGAGAAGUAUAGAAACCAAACUCCGAACACCCGACAAAAACAAAGCAGAGAAAGCUUGAGCCCGUGAACAAGGAAAGAAAAUCCAGUGUGAAAGCA